Molecule: long non-coding RNA, 220 nt
Filed under: Capsicum annuum
Lineage: Eukaryota; Viridiplantae; Streptophyta; Magnoliopsida; Solanales; Solanaceae
Description: long non-coding RNA (CANN_LNC016220)
Source: RNAcentral
UUUUCAUGUAUACUGUUCAUUAGUUAUCUCAUGCUAUUUCUUUCAGUUAGUUAUUAUUCAUGUACAUGAGCCCAUGCAUCUCAGCCUAUUCUCAUCUAGCAUACCAGUACAUUCAAAGUACUGACAACAUACUUGUUUCUUGCGCUAUGAUAUUUCAUACUAUAAGUUCAUAAACUCAGGUUCCCGAUCACAUUUAGACAUUCCCGCACAUCAGCAGCAG